This 77-nucleotide transfer RNA is filed under the name Pigmentiphaga humi. Its description in RNAcentral is "Pigmentiphaga sp. IMT-318 tRNA-Arg". It matches the Rfam family "tRNA". Rfam says of the family: Transfer RNA (tRNA) molecules are approximately 80 nucleotides in length. Their secondary structure includes four short double-helical elements and three loops (D, anti-codon, and T loops). The record is from RNAcentral. Lineage: Bacteria; Pseudomonadati; Pseudomonadota; Betaproteobacteria; Burkholderiales; Alcaligenaceae.
GCGGCGGUAGCUCAGUUGGAUAGAGCAACGGUCUUCUAAACCGUAGGUCACGGGUUCGACUCCUGUCCGCCGCGCCA